Molecule: ribosomal RNA, 233 nt
Filed under: uncultured bacterium
Lineage: Bacteria
Description: partial 16S ribosomal RNA
Rfam family: Bacterial small subunit ribosomal RNA
Source: RNAcentral
UACGUAGGGUGCAAGCGUUGUCCGGAAUUAUUGGGCGUAAAGAGCUCGUAGGCGGUUUGUUGCGUCGGCUGUGAAAUCCCGAGGCUCAACCUCGGGUCUGCAGUCGAUACGAGCAAACUAGAGUGUUGCAGGGGAGACUGGAAUUCCUGGUGUAGCGGUGAAAUGCGCAGAUAUCUGGAGGAAUACCGGUGGCGAAGGCGGCAUCCUGGACCGACAUUGACGCUGAGGAGGCG